This 1678-nucleotide unclassified non-coding RNA is filed under the name Hevea brasiliensis (rubber tree). Lineage: Eukaryota; Viridiplantae; Streptophyta; Magnoliopsida; Malpighiales; Euphorbiaceae. The record is from RNAcentral.
UUUUUUUUUUUAUUAGAAUUGGAAUCAAAUGUUUGAUUUUAAUUUUUAAUUUUAAUUUUGAUUUUAUUUCAAAGGCUUGUGUUAUCAUAUCAUUAACAUUUAAGAAGAAAAUUACUAAACGGUGUCAAUAUAUACUGACAUGGUAAGUCUCUUUGCACUCUUAAAUUAAUAUAGCAAGUGGAACCCAAAUAUUUAACUAUAUAUAAUUAUGUCAUUCAUCUAGUGCCAAGUUAGGAAGAAUAAAAGAAAACAAAAUAUAUUGACACUUACCCUCUAUUGUGAGACAAAUCAGUAGGUAAAUCAGUAUAUACAACAAAAUAAAUGAGGUCUCACUUACCAUGCCAAUUUAAGAGCACGAAGAGAAUUGUCAUGUUAAAAUAUAUUGAUGCUCUUUAACAAUUUUGUUUUUAAGUGUUAACCGUGUAAUAAGACAAACUGUUAAGUUAAAAAAUAAUAAUUAUUAUAAUAAUUCAAAUCCUUAUUAAUAAAAUGUGCUAAUCACAUGACAUUAAAAUGUACUUUUUCCUUAUAAAUAUUUAACAUGGAAAAACCAACAAAAAAUAGUACUAAUAUCGAAAUGAAAUAUCAACAAAGUAGCAUAAAGAAUAAAGUUUUAUUCAAGAAAUAUAUUUAAAUUAAACUAAUAAUUCUCACAUAAAAAAUAUAAAUCAGCAUCAAACAUCCAUAAUAUAAUAUUUCCAUCCCGAACAUAAAACAACAGCAAAUCAACAAGCACAACAAAUAAAGUUAAGCUUCAUUGUCACAUUUUCCACUAUAAAUAAGUCAUGUCAACAUCCAAGUUCCAAGCUUUCUUCUGAUAUGACAGCACCUUCAUUUUUAAACAAUUAAUUUCAUUACAUGAGAGAAAAUAAAUUAAAAUAAAAUUAUUAUUAAAAUAUCAAUAAAAAUAAUAAUACUAACGUCUAAAUAACAAUAUAUAUAUAUAUAUCAAAUUGGUUUUUAAUUUGAUCUUGAUUUGGUUUCGAUACGAUCUUGAUUUGAUUCUUAAUGAAUAACUAAAAUCAAAUAAAAACAGUAAAAUAAAUUCGGUUUAUCUCUUAUAUUAAUGAUUUUUUUUCUAUUCGGUUCAAUUUGAUUCGAUUUUUUAAUUUCAUUCAGGAUAAAAAAAAUCAUACACACUGUUAUAUAUAUAAUUGAUAGAUUUUGACCGUUAAUUAUGAUAAUACCAACAUGAGACUCAUCAUAAUAAUGAUUAUAACAAAACAAUUAUAUAUAAUGAUUGUGCUUUAUAAUUUCUCCCGUUCCCCUCUUCUUCUCCCAUUAAAUUAUCUUGCUCUCUCCUGUGCAUAAUAUAUCCAUACAAAGUGUAAUGCAUGUAGUAAAUGGGUAAAAAUGUUGAUAAUAAUAAACAAAUAUCAAAUCAAAAGAAGAGAAGAAAAUUAUGUAUAUUUUAGUUACCGAAUGAUCAUUCUUCAAGGACUGCAAAUAGUCAUAACUCCAUAUGUUAGGCUGAAAGUUGGCCGACCUUCUAGACUCCGUUAAACUGGAAUUUUCGUUGGCCACCGAGCAACGUACUUGCAGAGUCAUGGGAGUGCCAUGGAGACGGAGAUGAAAGGCUCUUUGCAAGGGAAAUCUGUAUAGUUUUUGUGUUGAUGAUGAGAAUGGACGUGGCAAGCACAGCAGUUCAGUCGCCAUGAAUAGCCACACCAACAACAGA